AGGAUGAACGCUGGCGGCGUGCCUAAUACAUGCAAGUCGAGCGGUAAGGCCCUUCGGGGUACACGAGCGGCGGACGGCUGAGUAACACGUAGGAACCUACCCCAAACUGAGGGAUAAGCACCAGAAAUGGUGUCUAAUACCGCAUGUGCUCUUCGGAGUAAAGCUACGGCGGUUUGGGAAGGGCCUGCGCAUGAUUAGCUUGUUGGUGAGGUAACGGCUCACCAAGGCGACGAUGGGUAGCUGGUCUGAGAGGACGAUCAGCCACACUGGGACUGAGACACGGCCCAGACUCCUACGGGAGGCAGCAGUGGGGAAUUUUGCGCAAUGGGGGAAACCCUGACGCAGCAACGCCGCGUGGAGGAUGAAGUCCUUCGGGACGUAAACUCCUUUCGAUCGGGACGAUAAUGACGGUACCGGAAGAAGAAGCCCCGGCUAACUUCGUGCCAGCAGCCGC
Molecule: ribosomal RNA, 454 nt
Filed under: uncultured bacterium
Lineage: Bacteria
Description: SSU rRNA
Rfam family: Bacterial small subunit ribosomal RNA
Source: RNAcentral